AGGGAAUAUGGGGGAUAUAGGGGAUAUUAGGGGGUAUUGGGGGAUAUAGGGGAUAUUAUGGGGGAUAUAGGGGAUAUUAUAGGGGAUUGGGGGAUAUAGGGGAUAUUAUGGGGUCAUUGGGGGACAUAGGGGCUAUUAUGGGGUUAUUGGGUGGCAAUGCGGGACAUAGGGUGUCAUUGGGGGACAUAGGGUGCCAUUGAGGGCUAUUAUGGGGUCGUAGGGUGCCAUUGGGGGCUAUUAUGGGGUCAUAGGGGGACAUAGGGGGCUAUUAUGGGGUCAUAGGGGGACAUAGGGGGCUAUUAUGGGGCCAUAGGGUGCCAUUAUUAUGCUAUUAUGGGGUCAUAGGGGGCCAUUGGGGGCUAUUAUGGGGUCAUAGGGGGCCAUUGGGGGCUAUUAUAAGGUCAUAGGGGGACAUAGGGGGCUAUUAUGGGGUUAUUGGGUGCCAUUGGUGGACAUAGAGUGUCAUUGGGGGACAUAGGGUGCCAUGGAGUGCCAUGGGGUGCCAUAGGGUGCUAUGGGGCUCUAUGGGGUGCUAUGGGGUGCCAUGGAGUGCUAUGGGGCUCUAUGGGGUGCCAUGGAGCACCAUGGGGUGCCAUAGGAUGCUAUGGGGCACUAUGGGGCGCUAUGGGGUGCCAUGGAGCACCAUGGGGUGCCAUGGGAUGCUAUGGGGCUCUAUGGGGUGCCAUGGGGUGCUAUGGGUCCUAUGGGGUGCCAUGGGGUGCUGUGGGGCGCUAUGGGUCCUAUGGGGUGCCAUGGGGUGCCAUGGGGCGCCAUGGGGUGCUAUGGGGUGCUAUGGGGCGCUAUGGGGUGCCUUCCAUUGCAGGUGGUGCAGUUCAAGCAGCAAUCCCGGCUGGAGGAGAAGCGUAAGAAGGCGCUGGACCUACAACUGGAUUUUAUUGUGGGGCAGACGGAGCGAUACUCGGAUCUGCUCAGCAGGAGCCUCAAUGCGCCAAGGAGAACCGGGACACAUGUGGGGCAGCACGAGGCUACAGAGGGGCUGAAAGGGAGACGGAGAGCGCUCCCUACAGGAGCUGCUGCAGAAAUACGCCGGGGCCUUCAAUGAUUCCGACUGCGAGUCAGCGCCCGCGGCCAGCAGCACCAGAUCCGGUAUGGGCUCUAUAUGGGGUCUAUGGGGUGUGUAUGGGGUCUAUAUGGGGUCUAUGGGGUCCUGAU
This 1173-nucleotide long non-coding RNA is filed under the name Coturnix japonica (Japanese quail). RNAcentral's name for it is "lncRNA (ENSCJPG00005001477.1)". The record is from RNAcentral. Lineage: Eukaryota; Metazoa; Chordata; Aves; Galliformes; Phasianidae.